Long non-coding RNA from Acyrthosiphon pisum (pea aphid), 942 nucleotides. RefSeq lists it as uncharacterized. The transcript is spliced from 6 exons. The record is from RefSeq and is a predicted model, not a curated record. Lineage: Eukaryota; Metazoa; Arthropoda; Insecta; Hemiptera; Aphididae.
UUUACUUCACAACAUAUACCUAUAUAUCAUUGACGUGUAUAAAGUGAUUUCCGCUUUAAUCAUCAUUUCAUCAUUUUUCUACUGUAAAAUAAUAAUUAUUUAUAUACAAGUAAGUUGAACUUUACGUAUUUUCAGUGGUGUAGUCAAGGGCUCUGAUUCAUAUCAAAACAUUAACACCGCAUAAAAAUUAUUAUUACUAUAUUAAAUUAUUAUUAAAUUCUUAAAAUUGAGUAUUUUUUUGUUAAUACUUGGAAUUCCCCCCCCCCACUCAUUUAAAACCCAAAAAAUUUUAAUUUUAAGCAAAAAUGAAAAAUAAAUAACUUAUCUCUAGUUUUUAAAAUAAUUGAAUCAUUAUAGUUGCAGUUAUUGGUUGUAACAUUUUUCAAACAUAUGUAACAUACCUACAUUAUUUGUACAUUAUUUUACUUUUAUUUAAAGAGUUCGAAUAUUACCAAUAUUGAAUCAUAAGAUAUUAUAGUUUAUGAUUUUGCUAAUGAUUUGUCUAGCGUUUAUGAAAAUUAUGAUUUCAAUGUAAAUCAUAAACUUGUACACAAUCCACCCAAAUUUCUUUUCUCUUCACUCCACUCUUGUUAGAUAUAGUUAGAUAGAAGUAAUUGAAUCUAUUAAGUUCACAAUCCCAGGCUCCAGUCCUGGUCCUGAUUUAAUUCCAAAUAUAUUCCUAAAAAAACUUUUACAUACCUAACAUUAUAUUAAAUAUAAUAUUUUUUAUUAACCAUUAAUUAUUUUGGUUGAAGAUGUGACAUGUUUGGAAGAGUUCGUAAAUGAAGGACUCGUGUACAUAGAUGGAAAUGGAAAUUGGUGUAAUAAUAGCGGUUGGAAAGAAACAUUCAAACAGGCCUAUGGUCAAGGAUCGAAUUCUAAAUAUAUGAAGGAAUACUUUAAAACAUCUACUGAAACAUCUGACUGUCUUCCAAUAACAGG